GAUGAAGAACGUAGCGAAAUGCGAUACGUAAUGUGAAUUGCAGAAUUCAGUGAAUCAUCGAAUCUUUGAACGCACAUUGCGCCCGCUAGUAUUCUGGCGGGCAUGCCUGUCCGAGCGUCAUUUCAACCCUCAAGCCCCCGGGCUUGGUGUUGGGGAUCGGCGAGCCUCCGCGCCCGCCGUCCCCUAAAUCUAGUGGCGGUCUCGCUGUAGCUUCCUCUGCGUAGUAGCACACCUCGCACUGGGAAACAGAGCGGCCACGCCGUUAAACCCCCAACUUCUGAACGUUUGACCUCGGAUCAGGUAGGAAUACCCGCUGAACUUAAGCAUAUCAAUAAGCGGAGGA
This 343-nucleotide unclassified non-coding RNA is filed under the name soil metagenome. RNAcentral's name for it is "partial contains 5.8S ribosomal RNA, internal transcribed spacer 2, and large subunit ribosomal RNA". The stretch from base 1 to 120 matches the Rfam family "5.8S ribosomal RNA", at positions 35 to 154 of the family's 154-position model. The record is from RNAcentral.